Molecule: long non-coding RNA, 23251 nt
Filed under: Phaseolus vulgaris (common bean)
Lineage: Eukaryota; Viridiplantae; Streptophyta; Magnoliopsida; Fabales; Fabaceae
Description: long non-coding RNA (PVUL_LNC005148)
Source: RNAcentral
UGCGGAGGAAAGAGAUGAUAGAGAAACUGGUUUGGGCUUUCGCCGGCGGUGACGACGAAUGAUUGAAUGAAUGAGCUGUGGCAAUGGCGGCAAAGGGUUUUUCUACUUCGCAAAGGGUUUAUGCUUAAGUUGGGCCCUUUAUAAACCGGUUUCGGCCCUUUUGGGAUAUGCUUAUGAAAACAUAUUUCUUGGCAGUUUCAUUCUGCACCACUACAUUCUUCUUCCUACACCCCCAUAAGGUUGAGCAAAGACAAAAGUGUCCCUAUAUAAAUUGUACAUUUUUUUGUAUUACAGAUUAUGAAAUCCGGUAAAUUUUCGGUAAUCUCACGGAUUAAUGCUUUCGGUAGUACAUGAAUAGUAGUGUUAAUCCAAAAUAAAAAAUGCAAAACAUUCAUAAUUGAAAAACCAUUCCGGAUCCGUCAAUCUGUAAUUCAAAAUAUUAUCCCUAAGGAGGGUUUUCUACCGAGAAGGUUUUAACGAGGCACUUUAAAUUACCAACAAUGGUCAGAAAUCAAUUAAUUCAUUAACCGUUCGUUCGGCCAGAAUAUAUAACUAAAGUUAUCCGAAUUAUAACUUAAACGUUAUUCACCAACAUUGGUCAGGAAUUCAAUUAUUAAUAAACCGUACGUUCGGACAUAAUAUAUAACUAAAGUUAUCCGAAUUAUAACGAAGCGUUAUUCACCAACCUUGGUCAGAAAUUUAAUUAAUUUAUUAAUAAACAGAUCGUUCGGUCAGAAUAUAUAACAAGUUAUCCGAAUUAUAACUUAAACGUUAUUCACCAACCUUGGUCAGAAAUUUAAUUAAUUUAUUAAUAAAGCGUGAGUUCGGUCAGAAUAUAUAACAAGUUAUCCGAAUUAUAACUUAAACGUUAUCACCAACCUUGGUCAGAAAUUUAAUUAAUUUAUUAAUAAACAGUUCGUUCGGUCAGAAUAUAUUAUCCGAAUUAUAACUUGAACGUUAUUCACCAACCUUGGUCAGAAAUUUAAUUAAUUUAUUAAUUAACCAAUCCUUCGGUCAGAAUUUGUAACUAAAGUUAUCCGAAUUAUAACUUAAACGUUAUUCACCAACCUUGAUCAAAACAUGCGACUCAUAACCUAAGUGGUUAGCCGCUCGUCCGCCAACCUUGGUCAGAAAUUAAAAAUUAAUAAUCAACCAUUCGUCCAGUCAGAGCAUGUGACUUGGGUUACAUGAAUUGUAACUUAAACGUUAUCUACCAAACUUGGUCAGAACAUACAAUUAGUAACUUAAGUGUCGUCCGAGCGCAUAACUUCUAAUACUGACAUGAUACGUUCAAAAACAAUAGAAGUGCGCGGAAAAAAGCAAGAACUAAAAGCAGUUAAAUUGUUCAAACGCCCACAACCCGGGUCCAGAUAUUUUCACAAAUUAUACUAUCUCGAUGGCUUCAUCCUGCUGCGGAGCCUCCGACACAAUUUCUUCACGAUUCUGACGUUCGUCCUCCGCCCCUUCUGCCUCCUCACCCUCUUCGCCCCCAAGAGGUACUAGGCGGCCAUCCACCACAUCCAUACCCGGGUCGUAGCGGUCAUCAUCAGUCGGCACACCAUGGAAGAAAGCUACCUGACGAACGCCCUGAUUAAAACUCUCUUCACUUACACGCAGCAUAAAACUUUGGCAUUGUUCGAUUUCGGCGGUCAAAGACUCCUUUUCAACCAUCAGACCAUCUUUUUCUCUCUUUAAAAGAUUUCGUUCGGUCGUCAUUUCAGCCAAAGCGGUUUUCAAUGCUUCUUGCUCUUCCUUCGCAAGCCGGAUAUCUUUCUCCCUCUCCCUUUGGCAUUCUUCAACAGACUUCAAGGCUCUCUUCAAAGAAGUGGCCGAGUCGUCAAGCUUCCGCUUUAACUUUGGAAUCACGACCGACUCAGCCCUCUUCAACUCCUCACCAAUAGCAUGGCUUACAACCGCUGCCCGACACUGAAGUUCUACCAUUUCUGUAAUAAGGUCCAAAGUCGGGACGGCAGCCAAGAUCCCCUCGUCCUCUGGUCGCAGAUCAAAUUGCAUGGUGGGGGCAACUCGUAUCCCAACUCCCAACAUGCUGAUGGGUUUGCCUCCAGAAGAAGAGCCCGCCUCGAUUCUCGGCACCUUGGUCGGACGGCCCCUCUUCUUAUUCGCAACUGGAGCAACAAUAGCAGUCUCGGUCGGCUCCUCCCCGAUGACAGCAAUUGGGGAUUUCGGUUUCACACCAGCAAUAGCAGCAACCUUGCUCUUCUUCGCUUGUCUUUUCAAGCUGUUCAUGAACUUACUCAAACUUGGAUCCAUUGUUACGAGAAUAUCUGCAAAACACACACAGUUAAAUAAGUGUCAAAUAUCAAAUCGAACUAGCGAAGGGCAAAGAUGCUCACCGUUCAGAUCUGCCCAUUGCUUGGACGAUCCAUAAAGACCUAUCAGUUCCCGAGUGGGAAGUCUACACGGCAAUUGGUUUAUAAUCAUCAAAAUCUCCUGAUCAAUAGGGGAUAAAGAUUCCCAAAAUCGAUUUUCAAGCGUGGCAGGUUUCUCGGUCCAAUGAAAGGGAAAUUUGGUAGUCCCAUCAGCAUUAUAGAAAAGAUCUCGGCCGUUCGGCUCCACAAAAACUUUAAAAUAAUAGUCUUUGAAAUUUUUGUAAGAGGAGGUAAACGCAGCAAAACGCACAUUACCCGGACGACUGGAUAGGGAUAACCAACCCACAGGAUGGCUGGGAUGAGUAUUAUAGUAGUACAAGAAGGACUCAGGAGUCGGCGUAAGGCCAAAAAUUUGACAGAUAACCCGGAAGGCUUGUAAAAUGGCCCACGAGUUCGGAUGUAGUUGGGUUGGUGCAACAUUAAGUAUCCGAAGGAUAUUCAUGGUAAAAUCAUCAAAGGGGAAAGAUACGUACAAAUGAGAAAAUAAAGUGCUAUACACGAAGAAAAAGUCAUGCGGAGAAUUUUCCCGGCCGUGACACACACGGUCGGUGAUACCGCAUAUAUCGACAUAGAACGCCUCUGCCGGACAAUCUGGUGUUAAAAAGUUUUUAUGGACAGCAAGAAAUUCAUCUAAUUUAUCAGAGGACUUUAUUUUACUAGGAAUCCUAAGGACGGCAGGAUCGACCCAGUCAUACGUUGGGCCAUCCGAUGCCUGACUCGCACCGCGAGUCAAAGACGAACCCACAACACUAGAAGACCCCUCUGAAGAAGGCAUGACUAACCUUGAAUCGAAGAAGACACCGGCAACAAACUCAGCACCUGGCAAACGAAGCAAGCGACGUGAAACUCAGAGCAAGAGAAACGGAAAACCCUCAACUCCACAAAUGAAGCACUAUUUAUAGGAGAAGCAAAAUCCCUACGUUCGUCUAGCACCAUUAGAUCAAAUCUAAUCUAACGAUCAAACACGCUCGGCAUAUGAAACGGCACGUAAUCCCUACCAUUCAAUCGUUCUAGAUGUGACAGCAUCCCCAAACGGCAACUCUGCCAUGCGUCACAUCUCUGCCACACAUUAAUGAUGCCAGCUAUCAAGCAUUGUCUCAAAAACCCUCUGCGUCUCAUACGACUCUUCGUUCUUCCAUGACUUCGACCCUGGGGGGCAAGUGUACCGGUCGGCACCGGACGACCUCGUUGUUCGAAGUAAAUUAUCUAAUUAAGCAAAGAACGUGGUUACACGUGGGACAAACGGUUACAAUUCCCACUGAGCAACAAACACACGUGAGCACUCCCUGGAUUUUCGGGAACACCCCCUAGAUCCCAGGAAACCAUCUAACACGACCCACGACCCAAGGACCACAAAACAGGUCGCGAACCACUAACGACCCGGAGGGCCCAAGCCGAAGGGGACAUACAAAAGAAGAGAAAGAAAGAGAGAAAGGUAUGUUUUUCAGAUUAUCAAGGAUUCUCACUGAGAGAGAUUACUAACUUGAGCGUCGGAGCACAAUCGCAGGUACCCCCACCGGCCGACCGAGGCACGCGAGGAAGAAUGAAACUCGAAGGACAGGACAACUAAGACUGAAGCAGACACUUUGUAUCGACGUGGACCAACAUUACUCAGUCCCCAAUAUCCAUACAGGUACAUGACUUGAACGUCAGAAUGUUUUUACAGAUAUUAUCCGAGUUUGGAGCUCAAGAAGUCGAAAAGUAAAGGAGUUAAAGAAGAGUACAAAGACGUUAUGUGAAAAAGAUACCGACUGAGAAAAGACAAUCCUUCUUUUUCUUAAAACCAGUUGAAUUAUUAAAGUAUGAUCCUUAGUUUGCUUCUUUUUUUCAUUGAACUCAGAUUUCAGUUUCAACAUUGGAUAUUGGUGUUGUACCUGAAUCACCCAUGAGGGAUGUCUCAAUUUCCCAUACAAGACCCCCCAAAGGGACGAUUGACCUAUUUUCUGGACCUCCCAUUCAGAUGAUGCCUUCCCACUUUUCUCCAAUGGACAGGGAGGCCAGAGUCCUAAGGUACAGGGAGAAAAAGAAGACAAGAAAAUUUGAGAAGACAAUAAGNNNNNNNNNNNNNNNNNNNNNNNNNNNNNNNNNNNNNNNNNNNNNNNNNNNNNNNNNNNNNNNNNNNNNNNNNNNNNNNNNNNNNNNNNNNNNNNNNNNNAAGAGAACAGAUGUAGAAGCUGAAGUGGAUCAGAUGUUCUCCACAACACUAAUUACAGAAGUUGGAUAUGGCCUUGUUCCCUCUUUCUGAAUAUGAUGUGCUGAACAAAAAUGGCCACAAGACAGAGAAGAAGCUAGAAGAUCGUGAUCAAUAGAAAUGGCAAUGGCAACCACUUAUGUACUAAGUUAUUUUGUUGAUACUGUAUUUUUUAUGUAAUCUAAUUACUCUCAGUUGCACUAAUCGGAUGCUUUAUUAUUUUGUUUACUGUAUUUUGAAUGGAACUUGUAUUUGUAAAUACAGUCCUUGUAUUAAAUUAUUAAAUUAUAGUCAACAUAUCUUUGAUAAAUUUUCAUUUUCUCUAGUUCUAUCAUGGUGUAUCUGUCAUUUCAUUUAGUUGCAAUCACUUCAAUCAAACUAAGUACUCUGGACAGAUAUUUAGGGACCAAAACUAAUUAUCUUCAUCAAACAUCAUUCAGGUGCAUUGAACUUACUGUGGCUUGAGUUUUGGUUUAUAUACUCACGAUCCUGAUCUGGCUACAGUGAAAAAGAGGAUAGAAAGUUGUCGAGUUUAAUAUAAUGCACAUAAUUCCUUUUUCAUUUGUUUGCCUUGGAAGAAGGUCAAAAGCCAAAACUUGUUAAUUAUAUAUUCUUUUCUCCUCUCUUUCUCUUUGUGAUUUCCACUGUUCAUCAUUCCUCUGCAUAGAAUGCUCCUAUAUCAUCAAGAGAAAGAGAUCUUUUGGCAUAUUUGGCUGAAGUGAGAGAAUUCUAUUUUGGAGGAAAAAAUGCAUUUAAAAUCAUUGAUUAGAAACUUAAUGAUUAAGGUUGUAACAAGUUUAGAUUUUUUAUACAUGGAAGUGAAUUUUAUUCUUUAACAUGUAUGUCCUUUAAUUUUGAGAAGCCGAAUAUGCUUUUGUAGCAACACAGCAUAUUCUUAAGAAAAGAUCUUUUUAUCAUGACUCUCCCUGACCAUACAUGGCAAAGUACAUUUGGAAAAAAUCUGCACAAAAUGAUUGAUGAAUUUAUCGCAUACAAAAUGCCCUCUUGAUUAUUUUAGUCUACAGAUAACUGGGAACGAGAGAAGAGAUUGAAGAAAGAAACAAUGAAGUUUUUUACAGUGAAAGUGUGGCUACGGGUUCGGUUAAUGAACAGAACAGGUUGAAGAAAUACCAUGCCAACGCUAUAAAUAUUCAGUAUCUGCUAUUCUAUUUGCUGCACAUAACUAGUGAUAGCAGACAAUAUUCAUUCCUUCCCACAUUNNNNNNNNNNNNNNNNNNNNNNNNNNNNNNNNNNNNNNNNNNNNNNNNNNNNNNNNNNNNNNNNNNNNNNNNNNNNNNNNNNNNNNNNNNNNNNNNNNNNCUGGUGAGUUGAGACAAAUCAGCACCAAAAUUGCAAUAAAACUUUUUCUUUUCUCUUUCUCUGAAAAAGUAAAAUACCUCUGAUUUUAACCUUGUACUCUCUGUUAAGUUAGUUUCUGUUGCGGAAUACGAGGUUCAGUAAAAGGUAAUGCUUUUUUACAUCAAAAGUUUUGGAAAUCAUUCACCUUAAGGUAAGAGUAAUCCUCACCAAUAAAAAAAAUGACAUCAUUCAUUGAAAGCAGUGGUGAUACAAUUUAUUGUUCCUUGUAGAUCUUCCACAUCUAUUUAUAAAUAUAUCUUCACAUUUUAUUUCUGCCACUAUUUGUUUUUCUACCCUCUUAAGGUAUAAAAGUAUCAGAUUAAAGAGAGAAGAAGCCUGUGUUAUAAUAAGUUUCUUAGUAAUUUGUCUUAGUAAGUUUCUUAGUUCAAUCAGUNNNNNNNNNNNNNNNNNNNNNNNNNNNNNNNNNNNNNNNNNNNNNNNNNNNNNNNNNNNNNNNNNNNNNNNNNNNNNNNNNNNNNNNNNNNNNNNNNNNNGUGGUCCUCAAAAAUUGGCUACACUUUUUUUUAUUUUAUGAAAUGGUAUGAGACAGAAGUAGAAUAGUGAACUUGUGGAGGUUGUUGUUACAUAUGUACAAGGAACGAUACCCUUUUGUUUGAUCUGCAUGUCUCACAAACUGCAAAACUCAGACAGGUACACGCACUCACCAAAUUGAUUCUAAAGACGAAAAGAACACCUAUUCCCUUUCCGCUCUUUCUUUUUCUUUUCAGUAAAAUAUUUCCUUGCUUUGAAGAGACAGUUAUGCAAAAACUACCAUCCAGAGACAAUUGAGUUUCAUUGGAUCACAUCCGUAUACGACCGUAUACUUUCAGGUCCAAACAUGCGACUAUAAAUAUAAAUAGACAAGUCCCUUAGAUCAAAUGUGUACUACUAGAUAGUCGAAAAGACCGACAUGACCGAAUGGUUGAGAAGGUUAAUGAUUGUCUUAAUCCAAACACAAACCAUAAAUCCAUGGUUAACAGUAAGUAAUUAAGUCAGUUUGGUGGUAAAAUAUGAUUGAGUCCUCUUUUAGACUCAGAAGCAGACUCAUAAUAGCUGAAGCCCAUCUAAAAGGUAUANNNNNNNNNNNNNNNNNNNNNNNNNNNNNNNNNNNNNNNNNNNNNNNNNNNNNNNNNNNNNNNNNNNNNNNNNNNNNNNNNNNNNNNNNNNNNNNNNNNNNNNNNNNNNNNNNNNNNNNNNNNNNNNNNNNNNNNNNNNNNNNNNNNNNNNNNNNNNNNNNNNNNNNNNNNNNNNNNNNNNNNNNNNNNNNNNNNNNNNNNNNNNNNNNNNNNNNNNNNNNNNNNNNNNNNNNNNNNNNNNNNNNNNNNNNNNNNNNNNNNNNNNNNNNNNNNNNNNNNNNNNNNNNNNNNNNNNNNNNNNNNNNNNNNNNNNNNNNNNNNNNNNNNNNNNNNNNNNNNNNNNNNNNNNNNNNNNNNNNNNNNNNNNNNNNNNNNNNNNNNNNNNNNNNNNNNNNNNNNNNNNNNNNNNNNNNNNNNNNNNNNNNNNNNNNNNNNNNNNNNNNNNNNNNNNNNNNNNNNNNNNNNNNNNNNNNNNNNNNNNNNNNNNNNNNNNNNNNNNNNNNNNNNNNNNNNNNNNNNNNNNNNNNNNNNNNNNNNNNNNNNNNNNNNNNNNNNNNNNNNNNNNNNNNNNNNNNNNNNNNNNNNNNNNNNNNNNNNNNNNNNNNNNNNNNNNNNNNNNNNNNNNNNNNNNNNNNNNNNNNNNNNNNNNNNNNNNNNNNNNNNNNNNNNNNNNNNNNNNNNNNNNNNNNNNNNNNNNNNNNNNNNNNNNNNNNNNNNNNNUUAUGGAGGAAAGACAUGAACAAAGAAAAACAAGCCCACAAAGGGUGUUGUUGUUUUCUUUUUACUUUACAAAAAAAAUAAAGUGAGUGAAGAUCUCACCUUUUCAAACUGAUUUUGUUUCAUGUUUUCCAAAAUUAUAUUAUAACACUUUCAUUUGUGAUUUAUAUUUUAAUGGAUUUGUAUCAUAGAACUCCUUUUUAUAAACUAUUGAAAAUUUAAUUGAAUAUAAUCUUAAGAAAACCCUAAUAAUUAUAAUUAAGUAUAUAAUUUGGUUUGGUUGAUCGAGUAAGAUCUAAAUUAGAUACUAUUUUAAAGACUACAAAUUUUUUGCUAUCUAAAAUAUUUUAUAUCAUUAAUAAAAAUUUAUAAAUUGGUAUCUAGAUUAGUUAUCAAAGUUUUAGUUAUUAAUAUUUUAGUUUAUAAAUUACUCUAUAAAAGACUAAUAGAGACUAAUUUAAAAUAUGUAGUAAAUAGUUAAAAAAAUUGGUAGUUAAUAGUUAGAUACGGUUUAUCAACUAUUUUAUAAAUUUUUAUUAAUAAUAAAAAUUACUUUACAUAAAAAAAAUUAGUUUAUAAAAUGUUUUCUAUUUUAGUUAAACAAUAACUAAUUAUUUUGAUAUUGUAGUUUUUAUUUAGUGAUUUUAUUUUAAUUGAGUUAGUGUGAACUUCCUUUACAUGUGUUCAAUUCCUAUAAUCCAAUGCACCCUAUGCUUGUUUGUAUUUUCAUCUUAAUUAAUGUCAUAAAUUGAUGGAAAUUAUAAAACUUGGAGGCUUCAAUAAUUUACAUUUUUUUUUGCUAAUUGUACUAAACUUUCAAUUAUUUUAUUUAAAAUGAUCUAUUGGCACUUAUUUUCUCUUUCUUAAUUCCAAUUUUGGAGAGUAUUUUUAAUAAUNNNNNNNNNNNNNNNNNNNNNNNNNNNNNNNNNNNNNNNNNNNNNNNNNNNNNNNNNNNNNNNNNNNNNNNNNNNNNNNNNNNNNNNNNNNNNNNNNNNNUCUAGCAUCUCUAGUUUCUUUUAGCACUUCCAUAUUUUCAAAAAUAUUGAAAUUGUUCAUUUUGUAUUUCAAAUUAUGAAAUUCAAAAUACAAAAUUUGCAUUUCAAAUUGUACAAUUCGAAAUAUAAUGUAUUUCGAAUUCUAGAAUCCAAAACACAAAAUUUGUAUUAUGGAUUGUUGAGUUUGGAAUAAAAAAGUUGUUUUCCAAUUUUAGAUUUCGGAAUACAAUUUUUGUAUUUUAAAUUCUAGAAUCUAGAAUACAAUUUUUUCUUCAGACGGUGAAGGUAAGGAGUUGCUGCGAUAAUGGCCCUGGACGUGUGAGGUGAUGUGGUAGUGGCGUUGGAGGUGGGGGCUACUACGACAGUGGCACUAGAGGUGGGAGUUGUUGUGGCUGUGAAAGUUGGAGGUGAAGGUUGUUGUUGUAGUGGAAGUUGGAGGUGGGUGUUCAAUGGAGAAGAUGACGAAGAUGGAAAAAUUAUAAUUUCACUUUUUCUAUGGAGGUACAAGAAGAAGUCAUAGAGGUGCAGGAAAAAAUUUUCCGAAAAGGACUAGUGAUGGGCUUCCAUUGAACAUGUUGGCUAGUAAUUAGGCUUUGCUCACAACAUUGACUGUUUCUUCCUGCACCUCCAUAUCUUCUUCUGACACCUCCAUACACAACAUGAAAAUACAAUUUUAUCCUUCUUGCGCCACCCCCAUAUAAUAGCUUCCGGAUUAUGUAAUCCGGAAACGCAUUUAAAAAAUACUUCCGGAUUAUGUAAUCUGGAAAGUAAUCAUGCAUAUGAAAAAAGACUUCUGGAUUAUAUAAUCCGGAAGCUAAUUACAAAUUUGAAAAAUGACUUCCGGAUUAUGUAAUCCAGAAUAUUACAGAGGGACAUUUUUGGAAAUACAAAAAUCUAUGGAGGUGAGAGAAGAAGGUAUGGAGGUGCAGGAAGAAGCAGCCCACAACAUUUGGUAAUGGACUAUGCUAUUUUCGACCAAAUGUUUGUUAUUUUGACUCCAUAUUUUGUUUAUUUUUCAAAAAAUAUCCUUAACAAAAUGGUUUUUAUAUUGCAUAAUAUACACAAUAAAAAUAUGUUGUCCAUUAAGUUAGGGUGCACCCAACACAACAAGCAUAUAACCAAGUUAGAUAGACUCAUUUAUUUAUAGACUAGUUAUAACCAUAACUAAAUACAUAAAAGAAAAAAAAAUUUAAUUAACAAAACAAUCACAAUAACAAUGAGUAGACAAUGACGCUUCAAACGAUAGUUGAUUUCUAUCAUACGCACCAACCAGAUGAUGUCAUUAGAUAAUCCACAAAAUCAAAGAAGUGACAAUGCAAAACUUAACACCUUAUUUAUUUCCUUUAAAAUUUGAAGUUCCAUCUUAAAAGUACAUGUUGAAUUUUAGUUUAUGUUUUUCUUAAAGGGUGUUAAUUCUGCCACGAAGUCAUUUAUAACUUUAGUCUUGAUUGACCUCCAAGCUUCAUAACCAAGCUCAUACUUUGACAUUUCUAGUGUAUGUUUCAAGAUUCUUUCAAACAAAUUAAUCUUCUAAAGCACUUUCUUUAUAAGUAAGUCAAUUUUACUAUAUUAUGAAAGCUCUAAAAAUAAUACCUUAAUUUAACUCUUUGUAGUUGUGAGGAUUGUUAACAUUGCUUUUUCGAUCUUUUGGUACCUUAAUUUAAUUCUUUGUACAAUGCAACUAACAAACUAUACCGAAUUUGUUCACUUGAUAUUUCAUGUACAAAGGCAAGUUAAUUGCUCGAUCUAUUACUGUUAAAUAAAGAAAUAAGGAGUUCGAAUUUACUAGUUUGGCUAAGAGUGGGGGAAUGUGACAAUUUCUCUUUUAGCUUCACAAAUGCUUGUUCGUAUUCUUCUAUCGAAACAAAACAUUGUUUUUUUUUUCAGAUACUAGAAAUUAGUGAAAAUUUUAUCCCCCAACAUUGACAAGAAUCUAAAAAAGGAAGUCAGUUGAUAUGUGAAUUAAUCUCAAUAUGUCUUUACUCCAAAAGUGCACAUUUAUCUUAAUUAAAAUUCAAUAAGUAUUUAUUGAUUGUCUCAAAUAGAUCCUUGAGGGAUCAAUUGUAUGACGAGUUUUUGUUGUCGAUUUUUCUAUCAAUAGUAUAUACUUUGACAUUCCAAUUUAUCAUGUUUUGUAGGAUUUUUUCCAAUAACCUUUGGUAGGUGGACUAUUCGUUUUUAGGAUGAAAUGCAUCACCUUAUGUUAAAUAAUUGUAAUUUCUACCACGAAAAUUGUCUUGUUUUUAUUCAACAGGUACAUUCAGAUUAAAUUGUAUCAUAAAUAUAUAUCCAUAAAACUUGGUAGUUCACAUUUCAUAGCACCAUCUACCAAACAAUCAAUAUUGGCAUUGAAUACAUCAUAACCAAUAUAGAAUAUCACAUCCUAAACGAGUUUUGUUGUUCAUUCUCUUGUAAUUGUAUUGAAAACACCCAAAAUUGGUACUUCAUGGUCUUUACUAUAAUCAAUCUUUCUCGGUGGUCUCUAUUAGCUUUUGGUUUUUCUCCCUCAUCCAUCUUUGAUAGGUUUCCAAGAACCCUAAAGAUAUGUUACCAACUUUUCAAUAUACUUGAUUAGCAAAAGACAUUAUCUAUAUUAUGUCCAUAUGUUCCAUGAAAAUGACACCAUGUGUUAUUAUCACCUUUUUCUACCUUCAAGUUCUAUUUGAAAAAUUAAAUGACUUGUUGUAUUUACAUCCUUUAAAAAAUUCCUUCAUGAAGCACAUUCAAUUAGGUGAGCUCAAAAUCGUUCUUCUUUUCUUUGAGAUGGCGAGACUCAUACAACUAAAAAUGCAUGUUCUCGAUUUUCGCCUGAGUUCCUUCAAUUCUUCACAUCCAACUUUUUUGUUUCCUCAUACGAGGGACCUUUGAUAGUACCAUAGUUACUUUCUUUUUUUAUCCUCUAUUUGUUUUCUUGCCUUGACUUCGUCAACUUGAUUUGGGAAGUCACUCUUGAUCUUAACAUUGUGACAUUUUUAGGCUUUUUCUAUAUUAUUGAUUCAUCAAAUUGGCUAACACGGAAACCCUUUAUAAAGACAUCACAAAUAUCUUUUCGUUUGGUUGGAAAAUUUGUAAACUGACUCCAUCUAAGCUGCAUCUUCAAAGAUUUCUCUCAUCGUUGAUUUAUAUCAAACAAAUCUCCAAUCUUGGGUGAUUUUUCCAUGUUUGUCCAAACUAGGUCAAGAAUAAUUUUGAAAGUACCUGAAAAGUUGAGAAAAAAUCAUUAAGGAAACUAGUGAACUAUCCAAUGGAGGGUUUGCUAAUGUUCCAAUGAAUUUUUACUUGGACACCUUCCAAUUUCGCUCAAAUAAAUAUAUUGACACUAAUAUUUAACAUGAGAAUUGACUCCUUUUAAAUAAGCAAACAUUUGGCGUCACAUAAGAUAACGAGGCUUUCAACCUUUGUUGCAACUUCUUGGUGUUUUUGUUGAAGCUACUCUUGUUCCCAAAGAAAUCUUUCAUUGGGCAAUGAGACUCUUCACCUUCCCUUGUUAACUCCUCUCUUGAACACGUUAAAAAUUUUGUGUGUGUUAUUUUGCUUCUUCAUUUUGCUUAUAAAGAUCAUUCAUCAUUAACAUAAAAAUUUUAAAAAAUUAGAAGGUCGUCGCUAUGAUAUCUUUUUGUCUUUCUUUUAAUAUUUUCUUUCAUAUUAAUACGAUUAUGAUUUCCAAAAUGCGAUGAAGAAAAAUGCAGUGGCACCAAGAGUAUACACGCGAUCGGUGGUGAGCAAGAGAAAAAGGAAAAACGAACGUGAAGUACACGGGAAAGAGUGCAGAGAAAUAAAAUGGAAGUGUAAAGUAGAAAACGAUAUUGUAUUAUUAUUAUUGUUGUGUGAAUAAGGUACAUAAAAGGUAAUAUAAAGGAAAAUGAAAAGAAACAAAAGAGGCAUGGGCUAAAAGAAUAAGGCCCAGAGAAAAAAGGGUUACAUAAAGUCAAAAUAGAGCCUAAGAAGCCCAACAAUAAGAUUAACACUCUCCCUCAAGAUGGGAAUAUAUAAUCUUUAUUCCCAGCUCGGACUUAAGAUUUUUGAAAACAGCAGGGGAUAGGGUUUAAUUAGAAUAAGAAAUAGGAAGCAAUUUGAGGAAACCGGUAUUAAGUUUUUCUCUUACAAUAUGACAAUCGAUCUUAAUGUGUUUGGUUCUCUCGUGGAAAACCUGGUUGGAUGCGAUUUGAAUGGAUGACUGAUUAUCGCAGUAGAGAGUGGCUGGUGAAGUGAAGAUGAGACCAAGGUCUUGAAGAAUGUAAGUUAACCACUGAAGCUCACAAGUAGUAGUUGCUAGAGCUCUAUAUUCUGCUUCAGAUGAUCUCUUAGAAAUUGUUUGUUACUUCUUGGAUUUCCAGGAGAUCAAAGACUCGCCCAAAAAAUUAGAGAAACCAAUUAUAGAUUUUCGAGAGUCAGGACAAGUGGCCCAAUCUGAGUCACUAUAAGCUUUUAAAUGAAUAGGACUACUGCUAGAAAGAAAAAUACCAGAACCAGGGUUGCUUUUGAGAUACCUUAAUAUUCUGAAAGCAGCUUGUUGAUGAAACUUAGUGGGUACAGAAACAAAUUGACUGAGAUUGUUAACGCUAAAGGUAAUGUCAGGUCUAGUGUUUGUAAGGUAGAUUAAUCGCCCAAUAAGUCUAUGGUAUGUUGAGGUUUCGUCUUCAUUGAGAGGAAUACCUUCAGUUAACGAGAGGCGGGAAGAAUCCGUCAUAGGUGUAGGCAUAGGUGCACAGUCUUGCAUACUCGUUUCACGAAGAAGAUCAAUAGUGUAUUUUUGUUGACUAAGAUGAAUUCCAAAACUGUUGCGGCCUACCUCGAGGCUUAAGAAGUAGGUAAGAUCGCCCAAAUUCUUGAUCUUGAAGAUCUGGUCCAGCAUGUUGGUUAUAUUGAGAAUCUCAGCACGAUCAUUCCCAAUAAGCACAAUAUCAUCCACAUAAACAAGAAUAAUAGUAAUGUUAGUGUCAUGACGUUUUAAGAAUAAAGAAUGAUCAGUAGAGGAUAAAAUGUAGUUUUGUGAAAUUAAGAAAGUUGACAACUUUUCAUACCAUUGUCUUCCAGUUUGCUUAAGGCCAUAGAGCGACCGCUGAAGUUUGCAAACACUAUUGCUAGGAAGAAGAAGCCCAGGGGAAGGUUGCAUGUAAACCUCUUCAUACAAGUCUCCAUGUAGCAAUGCGUUAUUAACAUCCAAUUGUGUAAGAGACCAGUUAUGAGCAACAACAAGAGCAAGAAGGAGACGGAGAGUAGUUAAUUUUGCAAUUGGUGCAAAGGUAUCCAAGAAAUCAAGACCUUCCAACUAAGUCUAACAUUUGGCAACCAAGCGUGCCUUGUAACGAUCUACAGUCCCAUCUAAAUUGUACUUAAUUUUAUAAAUCCAUCUACAACCAAUAGUCUUCUUACCAGAUGGAAGGGAAGUAAUUUGCCGUGUUUGAUUGACGUCAAGAGCAUCUAAUUCAGCUUUCAUUGCUUGCUGCCAACAGGUUUGUUUGGAGGCUUCAUUAUAGUUGCGUGGCUCCAUAUGGGAUGAAACAUAAAGAAUCAUAUGCUUAAAACUAGGUAAUAAAGCAUGGUAUGAAACAUAAUUGAUAAGGGGAUAGUGAGAACUUACAUUGUAUACAACUGGUAAAUCAGUUUGAAAAUCUUCUAAAUAAGCUAGAGGUCUCCUUGACAUUGUUGAACGCCAAGGGGGAGGAUCAACAACAUUUUCAACAUUGGUGGUGGUAGUAGUUUCAGCAGUAUAAGGUGUAGUGGAAAAAAAGAGAUCACAUUUUGAAUCAUAAUUGGGAGGAAAAGGUAAUGACAAAUUAUUUAGACUCUGUUGAACAUUAGUAGUCAAUUGAUAUGGAAAAUUAGUUUCAUGAAAAAUAACAUGCCUUGAAACCUCAAUUUUAUGAUUUUUAAGAUUAAGAAAAAUAUAACCUUUGGUGUGAUGAUGGAAACCAAGAAAAACACCAUGAACAGAACGUGGAUCUAAUUUCUUUCUAUGUGAAGUGAGAGUGUUAGAGUAACAUAAACACCCAAAAACACAUAAAUUUGAAAGAUCACAGAGAUUACCAUUUAAUUUUUCAUAAGGAGAAAUUUUUUCUAAAAGGGGAGUAGGAGUACAAUUAAUUAAGAAAGUUGCAUGUUGUACAACAAAGUUCCAAAACAAGUGAGGUAAAUGAGCUUGAAAAAGUAAGGCACGAGUCACAUUUAAAAGAUGUUGAUGUUUGCGUUCAAUAAUGCCAUUUUGUUCAGGAGUUUCAACACAGUUGGUUUGAUGAACUAUACCUUUAGCAGAAAAAAAAAAUCUUUCAUAGCAAAUUCAGCACCAUUAUCAGUUCUAAUAGUUUAAAUAGUAGUUUUAAAGUGGUUUUCAAUAUAAGCAACAAAACUAAUUAUAUGAUUACAAACUUCAGAUUUGUUGGACAAAGAAAUUGUCCAUGUAAAGCAAGAGAAAUCAUUCACAAUAGUUAAAAAAUAACGGAAACCUUGCAUGGAAAUAACAUAACAUUGACCUCAACUCAAAAGAUUUUGAAGAUCAGGAACUGCUUAAAGUAAAAGGAAGCUUUUUUUGUUCGGCAAGAUGACAAGUAUCACAAACAUCAAACUUCUUAGCAGAAAUAUAAGGGUAUUUAGUGCUCAAAACAAUCAAUCUUUCAUUUGAAACAUGCCUCAUUCUAUGAUGCUACGAAUUUAUGUCCUUAACAGUACAAUGUAAAACAGAAACAAUAUGAGGUGUAGCAGUAUUUUUAAAAGUAGAAUGUUCAAAAACAUACAACCCGGCUCUAGCAUCAACUAAACCAAUCCUCUAUAUGGUUUGAGUGUCCUGUAUCACACAGUUUAUGGAUGAAAAAAAAAAUUGUAGUUAAGAUUAAAACACAAUCUAGAGGUGGAAAUCAAAUUAAAAGCAAAUUGGGGAAUAUACAGAACAUCAAUAAGGUAGAAUUUGAGAUUAAAGACAAUAAUGCCAGAAAUUUUAGCAAAAACAUUUUGGCCAUUUGGUAAACUAAUUUGAACAUAUGUUAUACUUUUAUACAUAUUAAAAGCAGAUAAAGAGGUGCAAACAUGAUCUAUUACCCCUGAAUCUAUAAUCCAGUAAUUUCUAGUUUUCUUUACACUAUUGAAAGCAUAAAUGUUACCCAUGGGAGAUUAGUUUGUUGCUUUGUGAGUGAGAUCAGUAGUGAAGGAUCCCACCUGGUUCAUAUGAGCUGGAUUUACUGGAUUGUUGCAGGAAUGUUGCCUGAACAAUUCGAAUAACACUUGAUAUUGUUGUCCAAUGAGGUGAAAAUCUCUAUUUUCCUGUUUCUUUUGAGAAUGCUCAGAAACAACUUCACCAGUAGUAACAACAUUAUUAACUUGACCAAUUUUACCAUUAUAGAAUUACUGGUAUAAAUGUUUUUUGUAACAAGUGUCAACCGUAUGACCAUUUCUACCACAGUGAGUACAUGUUUUUAUGUUAUUUUUAUAAGUUCUAUUAUCUUGUCCAGGAAAAUCAACCUUACGAAAACACACAUUCUUAGUGUGGCCAUUUUUUUCCACAAAAGGUGCAAACACCAAGAACAUUAUUUCGAUUGGAAUUAACACUAUUAAUAUUGGUCACGGAGAAGUUGUUAGCCAAUUAACGUUCAUGUUGAGCCACCAAAGAAAAAAUCUUGGAAAUGGGUGGUAUAGGUUCCAUUAAAAGGACAUGAGAUUUGAUGUUAUGAUAUUGUUCAUUUAACCCACGCAAGAAUUGCAUAGCCUGAUCCUCACAUUUUCUUUGACUAAUAAUCGAAGCAACAAAGCAAGUACAUUUUGUUUGACUGACACACACAGGAUAAGGUCUGAAAUUGUCUAGUUCAUCCCAAAUGAUUCUAAGUUUAGUAAAAUAUUUUGUAACCGAUAAAUCUCCUUGACUUAAAGAGACUACUUCAUAUUGCAAGUCAGAAAUUCUAGAAAGAUCUCCUUGAGAAUAUCUAGUUUUUAAAUCAAUCCAAACAUCUAUGACCAUAUCCAUCCAUAUUAUACUCUGUCUAAUAGGAGUAGAGACAGAAUGCACUAACCAAAAAACAACCAUGUUGUUACACCUUUGCCAAGCCGAAUACGUUAGAUGGUUCUUGGUUGGGCAAGGAUGUGAACCCAGAAUGAACUCCACUUUGUUCUUCACACUCAACGCCGUCACCACUGAUCUGCUCCAAGAAUGAUAGUUUGUAGGGUCAAGCAUCAGUGACACCAAGGGGGCAACAGGAUUUUCAUUGGGAUGUAGGUAAAGAAAACUAUUCACAACAAAUAAAAUGGCUCUCUUGAUCGGAUUGUUUUUGUUGUUCUGAAUCUUCUUUCGCCAUACCUAAAUAAAAAAAUAAAGAAAGAAAUUAGGGCAAGAAAACAAGAAAUCAAUUAAGAGAAAGAAAUUUCAGAGUGCACAACAGAGAUCUUCAAAAAGGAGAGCUUUGAUACCAUAAUACGAUUAUGAUUUCCAAAACGCGAUGAAGAAAAAUGCAGCGACACCAAAAGUAUACACGCGAUCGGUGGUGAGCAAGAGAAAAAGGAAAAACGAAAGUGAAGAACACGGGAAAAAGUGCGAGAAAUAAAAUGGAAGGGUAAAGUAGAAAGCGAUAUUGUAUUAUUAUUACUGUUGUGUGAAUAAGGUAAAAAAAAAGGUAAUAUAAAGAAAAAUGAAAGGAAACCCAAAGAGGCAUGAGCUAAAAGAAUAAGCCCAGAAAAAAAGGGUUACACAAAGUAAAAAUAGGACCUAAGAAGCCCAACAAUAAGAUUAACACAUACUAUAAAUUGAGGCUUCUUCAUCCUACACCCCCACGUUUUUCUUCCUGCACCCCAUAAUUUUAAAUAUUCCAACAUUAACCUUGACCUAUAAUUUCAAAAGGGGCUACCAGAUAUCGGGAUCCGGUAAUAUAUUCUGGAUUCAUGAAUCCGGAAUUGAUUAAAUUGUGUUUUCCGAAUAAGGGGGUGUUCUGGAAGAUAAAAGGUCAUAAAUUGUUGUUUUCCAGAAUGCUGAAUCCAGAAGCCUAAAUUGCAUUACGGAUUGGUGGAUCCGAAAUUGUUUUUUUGUGUUAUGGAUUCUUGAAUCCGUAAUGCAUCACUUGCAUUAUGGAUUUCUGAAUCCAUAAUCGUUUUUUUGUGUUAUGGAUUCCUGAAUCCGGAAUAAUCUUUUUGAAUUAUGGAUAGUUGGAUCCAGAAUAAUGUUUUUGACUUAUGGAUUCAAGGAUUCGAAAUGCAAUGAUUUUGUUUCAUUUCUUUUAUUUGUAGAAGCAUGGACAGUAUUGAUGAAUUUGAACAAGAAUUAUAUGAUGGAGUUGAUUUGUGGGAUGAUGAUGAUAUUGAGAAGUCAUUAUCCAUGUUCUUCAUGUUUUUCAUCUUCAUUAACAUAUCUUCUUCUAACAGAGAUUGUGGGACGUAGACGAUCACCUUGUGAACCUCCUCCCCUAGUUUUCACCAUUACUAUUCAAUUACACCAUUCAAGUUAAACCAAAUUACAAACUAAUGAAUAAGAUAUUGAACCAAUACAAACAAAAAACAGCAAAUAUAAAAUUCUAUUGAAAUCAAAAGAGAGAAAAAAGGCAUUGUAUCAUUUCUACUAAACAAAUAUAAAUAAACUAUAGACAAAAAAAAUAUUAAAAGAAGAAAAAAGGAAUAUAAUUGCGAAUCAUAUUUGAAGAUAGAAAAAAAUAUUUUGAUGAAGUUUUAUAUGUUGCAGAACCCAAGUAGUUAAUAAUUUGAUUUGCUAUCUGUAUAGAAACCAGAACUAAAAUUCAGGAAAGAUAUGUUAUUCACAGUAGAUGGUUUGAACUCUAAAGGAUUAUUCCACUGCUCUAGUUGAUUGUUUGACCAUCUAAUUUCAACAUUUUUAACCUCAAGCCCUUCAAUGUGCUCCAUCAUUAUGCCCGCAGUCCUGUGUUUAACUAACUCUUGGCAUCCUGGCCUGUAGUCCAAUAACCCACCAGCAUAAUUAGUGAACCUUCUAUAUGUAACGUCCAUGUUGAUGAAUCUCAAAUUUCUAAGCAAUCCUCUCUUUGAACCAGAUAGAAAGAUGCCAUUUUCAGAAUUUGCAGUGAUGUUAAUGAAAAAUACAUCAGAGAUUGAAGCCUCCUUUGAGGCUGAGUUUCGUGGGCAACUCGUGACAUAGAUGGGCUCUGCUCUCCCCCACCAUAACGGGUCAUAAUAUCUUGUGCUGAUAUUAAUGUUUGAGAAUACAAUGUCACUUACAUUUCCUGUACGAGGAAGUUGAAAGCAUUUCAAAAAUAUGUUUUAAGGCUAGACUUUUGUUGACGCAAGCAAGGAUGAAAAGCGUACUGAUUAAUCAGGCUCAAUAAAAGUGAGGCUUACCAGGCCAAAACACAAUAUAUAAAACUGUUCAAGGGAAAAUAUACUGUGAUGUGACACAUUGUUUCCAACACUUGCUAUUGUUGAAAAGAGUAGGGGAACAAUAAAUGGGACUCGGGACGCAUAAAUUACAGUCAAUAACAAAAAAGGUGUGAGAAAGAGUAUAUCAAAAGAAUGUAUCAUUAUCUUUCCUCAAAUGUUCAAUAACAAAUGAAGAAUAUGUUUGACGAGAAAUAUUUACAUCUGUUAGAAAUUAUUGUUUCAUAAUGAACCAAGUUAGCGUGUUAGAUACAUGUUUUAGAUUCAACAUUCUGGGCUAAGAAAAAAAAUUCACAUAACAAAGCAAUAGUUUGUGAUGUAAUCAUUCAUCGGGAGAUAAGUGAGAAGAAACAUGUUACCUCCAUCACGGAUCUGGAAUCCAAUCCCUCUAUGAGAAUCAACAAUAGUGAUAUUAUCAAACACAAAGUGCUUGAAAUCAAACCAACUAGCACUGCCAAGUUUAAUUGCAGAAGAUUUGGAUCGAAUCCAACAGUCAGUGACUGUAAGGUUGUGAACAGGACCUGUGUAUGACUUUGGACAGAUUGCAUCAUCCCCAGUAUCGAUGUGGCAUCGAGUGAUUACUGUGUUGUUUGAGUCCUCAAUGUCAAUCCCAUCAUUGUUUGGUAUGUUGAAGUCCCCAUUAAUUGCAAUAUCUUUAAUGGAUAUGUUAUUACUCCGCACCAAGUGUAAACUGCAAGGUAGUAAAUUGCAAUAUCUUUAAUAGAGAAUCAAGCCUUUUCUCAACAUGGAGUUGUCUCAUUAGAUCAACCUUCCGCUCUAACAAAAUUAGGGUUUCAGUUCUCAAUUAUUGGAACAAGAAAUAACAUAUAGCCCCUUCAACCUUUUUCAUUCCUUCAGCAUUUAAAAGUUUAGCAUAAUAUGACUACUCUAAUUGCAUUGUUUAUGGUCAAAUAAAAACAGUAAUAACUUGUAGAAAAUGAUUUGUUAUGGGACCCAGACUUCACACGUUUAUCACUCAAACUCGAAUCGCUCUUGCGUGUAGAUAAACUACGAAGUUCCAGAAAACAACUCAGUGAGCCCACCAGUAUAAGAAGUCAUCAUCCACAAGUGAUAUCAAUCCACUCCAACCAAAUUGCCACUUCAGAAUCAAAUCCUCUGCCGAUGCCUUUUAUGAAAUAAUCACUAAUGACAUUCUAACACUUCUCCCAUCCCCAAAAUAAAUUCUCAUUUAUUUCUAGUAAAACCCCUAACCUUCCGUCACAUCCAAUUAAAACAAAACAAAACAAAACAAAAUCAUUUUACUCUCAUCUAAUAAUCACAAUAAACUUUUUGACUUUUACAUUUUUUUAAGUUAUACCCAUUUCUGAUUGGUCUAAUUUGAACAGAAAUUAAAAUCUUACUUUAAUUCUUUCUUUUUCAUAAUACUCUAAUUUCAUCCUUAUCCUUAUGUCCUCAAAAAGCUUCAAACAUACAAAGAAAAAUUGAAAGCAUAAAUACAAUAACUUUAAUUGAAUCCUUAAUUUUAUCUAUAUUUAUUUUUAUAUUUUUAUAUUUUAAUUAAUUAAAACAUCUUGUUAUUACAGCUUUAAUAAAACAUUCAAAAUAAAAUAUAAAAUUGUAACCAAUAAGCAUACUUUAAAAUGAUAAAAAAUGAGCAUUGAAAAAAAAGAGAAAUGCAUGAGUUAGUGGUAAUACUCACCACCAAUAAGCAGGAUGGUUAAGAGUGAUGUUAGAAACUUCAACAUUGUUGCAACCAAUGAAUCCAAUGAGUCUAGGUCUGCAUUCGUCUCCUAAGCAAGCCCCAGUUUGGUUCCAACUAACCAUCACGUUCUUCCUCGGAUCUUCCCUCACUACGAAUUUAGAAGCCUGACCAUCCACCACUCCACCGCCGCGGAUUCCCACGUCCGUCGCAUUCUCCGCCACCGCCACGUACCACCGCAACGACUCCUUCGGGUAGUCCUCCAGCCUGGAGCCGCCCAGGAUGGUGGCACCAGGCUCCACGACCAGCACCACGCCGGAUUUCAGGAAUACGGUGGCCGUCAGGUAUUUUCCCGGCGCCGGGAAGAUGACGUGGCAGGGACCGCCCUCCGGACAGGAGUUGAUGGCCGACUGGAUAGGUUCGGUGUCGUAGCUGCUGGCGUCACCGGCGGCGCCGAAGUCGGCGACGGAGAGCGUGAUUAAGAUCGGGUUUGGAGGUGAUGAGGUGGCGAGAAGAGAUUGGGUGAGAAGGAAGAAUAGAAGGAAGAUGAGUUGGUUGUUCAUUGUAGGAUUCUGACUCUUCUCUGACACUACGUGUUCUCUACCUAUAUACCAGCGGAAUUAAUAGCCACUAUUUUUGCUUUUCAAUUUAAAGUACUUUUUUAAAAUAUUUUCAAUUUUAACAUUAAAAAAAAUAACUUGGUUUUGUUAAAUUCAAUUUUUCACUAGGUUUCAUUAUGUAAAAGAAUGAAAGUUAUGAUAUAUUUAAUUUGACUUGGACUCAAGUUUAACGUAAAUUGGCCACGUCUAAAUUUACUUUAAAUAAUUUUAAACUUUUCACAUCUUAAAUAUAAAUAUAAGACACGUCAAACAAAAUGUUCUGAGACUCCUAGCAUCAAAUUAAUUUUUAUUAAGACAAUUAUGAUUUAUAUAUUUUAAUUUUACUAUCUUUAUUUUAUAUAUUAUGGAAAAAAAGUGGUAAAUACCUCCCAAAUAGAUUGAAUUUUUUACACUUACAAAAGUAUUUUCCAUAAUGUUAAAAUUUGUGUACAUUCACAAAGGAUUUUUUAAUGAUGAAAUUUCAAUCUCGAAAAUAACCUUUUAGAAAACCAACUUUUAGGAUUAAAAAAAAUGGACAUCAAUUGCCUUUAAAUUGCUCUGUAUUUACUAUAAUUGAAAUUGUAUUAUAGUAGGUUUUUAAAUUAUUUAUUUUGAGAAUAUUUUGAAUUUUUAAGAUUAAAGAAUAGUUGGGUUUGUUAAACUCGAUAUUUUACUAAAAGAAUGGAUGAAAGUUAUAGUACAUAUUUGAUUUGGUAUUAACGUAAGUGCAUAAUUACAUGUCAACUAAAAUUAUUUUAAAUAAUUUCAGUUCUCAGUUAUGUAAAAUGUAAAUGAGACUGCAAAUAUCAAAUAAGAAACUUUGAUAUUCCAAACAUCAAAUCAAUUAUGCAUGUAGAUAUUAUACUAUGCCUACAAAAUUAUCACAGGCUUAAUAACACUUUAUAGAUCUGUUUAAUUUUGAUUCUUUGUUGAUAGUUGUCUAAACAAAAUCCUUAUAAGUUUCCAUUUUUUUUAAACUUAAAUCUUUCGUCUGAAAUUUCAUGUAAUAGUAGAGAUGCAUUUGAAGUAUAAUAAUUUAUAUAUUCACAAAAGAAAAAUUAUAUAAUGUUUAAAUAAAAAUAAUAAAAUCUAGGUUUCAUUAUAGUUUAAUAGUUUACAUAUUUUCUUCUAAUUUAUACAAAUCGUAAUAUAUUAUACUUCCAUUGAGCCAUUAAAAUCAAAAGAAACGAAACCACACAUAACAAAAGGAUCAAAAGUAAAAUUAAAUCGAAGUAUAAAAGGAAGUGGUUUCACCAGAGUCUAAGUCAACAUUAGAUUCAAGCCAAAAGACGAGGAUCGGAGGAAUACUAGUUCUGUAGGUUCUGCUGACCCGAAUGUAGAGUAGAGAACCUUCAGAAAAAUGAGACAGCAAUGUCAUUAAAAAACUAAUGAUAAUCUUUAUAUACUGUUAUACUUGAAUAGCAAUAUUAUCUUUGAACAAAGACAAUAAAAAAUAUUCUUACUUUAAAACAUUUGACAAUAUUUUUUACAUGCUGAGAAAAAAACAUUUGCCAACAUUGAAAUCCACUUCAGCAUAAGCUACUGAGUGUAGCUUCUGUGUUUAGCUCUAAAUAUGACGUAAAAAGUUAGCAAGACCUACGUUGACAACAUGUGUCCAGUAUUACUCGUUUCUGUUAUCAGUGCUAGCAUGAUCUACAUCUUUUCACGGUUCUGCUCUGGACUCCAUCUGGUUAUUGUGCACUCUUCAACGGUAUAGUUUGCAAGACAUAAUGGAGAUUCGUUGUUGUUACCAAUUUUAUUGACAUGUAGAACCAGUAAGAUUUUUGCAACACUUCCAACAAGUCGAGUUGUGCAAUGAAUAUCAGACCAUACUCUCAGUCUUCCAUUCAGAUCUUUAUCUUCCCCAUCUGAUAAAACAAGCACACCAUACUCAGAAUGGACCCGAGAUGGAUGAUGUCGAUAGAUAACAAAGUCUACACCAUACUG